AUGCACAUUUCAUUGACCUGCUUUCGGUGCAAGUGCUGAGCAGUGUUAUUUCUGGUGUGCUAAAGAAAUAGUUGAAGGCUAAUUAGCAGCAUAGCUGUGUAUGUAGUUACUGCUGCCAGUCUCCUUCAUACAAAG
RNAcentral lists this small nucleolar RNA (135 nucleotides) under Acanthisitta chloris (rifleman). Lineage: Eukaryota; Metazoa; Chordata; Aves; Passeriformes; Acanthisittidae. The record is from RNAcentral.